This 253-nucleotide ribosomal RNA is filed under the name uncultured bacterium. Its description in RNAcentral is "partial 16S ribosomal RNA". It matches the Rfam family "Bacterial small subunit ribosomal RNA", at positions 524 to 776 of the family's 1533-position model. The record is from RNAcentral.
GACAGAGGAUGCAAGCGUUAUCCGGAAUGAUUGGGCGUAAAGCGUAUGUAGGUGGCUUUUUAAGUCUGCCGUCAAAUCCCAGGGCUUAACCCUGGACAGGCGGUGGAAACUAUCAAGCUGGAGUACGGUAGGGGCAGGGGGAAUUUCCGGUGGAGCGGUGAAAUGCGUAGAGAUCGGAAAGAACACCAACGGCGAAGGCACUUUGCUGGACCGACACUGACACUGAGAGACGAGAGCUAGGGGAGCGAAUGGG